This 1137-nucleotide unclassified non-coding RNA is filed under the name Dendronephthya gigantea. RNAcentral's name for it is "uncharacterized LOC114541047, transcript variant X1". Lineage: Eukaryota; Metazoa; Cnidaria; Anthozoa; Malacalcyonacea; Nephtheidae. The record is from RNAcentral.
GCGUGGUUUGCUCGCGAUAUUUGCUAAUCAGUAUUGUUGCUUGGACUGUGUAUCUUUCGGUGGUUUUCUUCAGUUUUUUUCGUAUCUUUGUGAUUUGGCGUGUACAGAGGAAGAUCCUAGUUGUAUCUAAAAGUGUGCAGCUAAGGAGAGAAUCAAGCACAAGGAAAUGGCAAAAGCUUGAAGAAGAUAUGCUGAAUCGUUUGACACCAUCAAACAUCAGGAAGUUGGAGAAAAGCGCAGCAGCUCGAUAGGCGGCUAAGAUCAUUGACCAAUACUCCGAUCCAGCUGAGUCCACGCCUGUCACUCUAUCCAGUUUUACCUUGGUUAGGGAUUUCCUGUUCACUCAAAUCUUUAUAGACAAUGCCAAUCGACCAGGUGUCCUAGCACAUAAUGACGAUGGAGGAAUUUACAAACAUCCGAAAGCAAGAUGACUAUUACCUCAUAACAGUGAAGAAGCACAAAACUGCACAUGUUCAUGGACCAGCUCGUGUUGUAUUGAGUGAAAAACUGAAGGCGUGGCUGUCAAUAUUCGUUGGCAUAAUGCGAGCCCAUGUUACCACCCGAAUGAAUGGCCCAGUAUUCAUAUCCUGGAACGGAAACCCUAUGAAUUCUGUGCACAUCACUAAGGCAGUACAAUCUGUCUUUAAAAAAGCUGGAGUGGAUGUUAAAGUAACAUCGACAUCGUUUCGGAAAGCAGCAGUGACGAAAGUUAAUGUCGAUAAGCCAGAGAUGAGUGCGAAAUUGGCUAGCCUUAUGGCUCACAACGAAGCGACGGCAAAGAGAUAUUAUCUCCUGACAGAGAAAUCCAAAACUUCCAUAGAGGCUUCACGAAAUCUUGGUCGCCUGAUGCGAACUGAUGACGAGUGUGGAGAUAACAUUGAGACUCCUUCAUAUGGCAGUUCAUUUAGCUACGUUAAAUACGAGAAAUACAACGGGUCAAAGACAAGAUUCUCUCCACGGAUUCUGCGUAGAAGGAUCGACUUGCUUUUUCCGGACAAAGAAGUCUAUUAAUGAAGUAUGAAUAUUUAUGGAAGACGAAAUCCGAAUUGCAAUUCUCUAAUGAAUACAUUUGUCAUUGGAAUAUGGGUCCCCAGAGGGGCAUAAAAUUUUCUAGUCCACAGGAUGACUGGCAAACAG